GGCGGCGUGGCUUAGUGGAAAGAGCACGGGAUUGGGAAUCCCAGGUUCUGGGUUCUAAUCCCAGCUCUGCCA
Non-coding RNA from Tachyglossus aculeatus (Australian echidna), 72 nucleotides. The record is from the annotation of a RefSeq genome assembly. Lineage: Eukaryota; Metazoa; Chordata; Mammalia; Monotremata; Tachyglossidae.